This 241-nucleotide ribosomal RNA is filed under the name uncultured bacterium. RNAcentral's name for it is "partial 16S ribosomal RNA". It matches the Rfam family "Bacterial small subunit ribosomal RNA", at positions 267 to 525 of the family's 1533-position model. The record is from RNAcentral.
ACCAAGGCGACGAUCUUUAGCUGGUCUGAGAGGAUGAUCAGCCACACUGGGACUGAGACACGGCCCUUACUCCUACGGGAGGCAGCAGUGGGGAAUAUUGGACAAUGGGCGAAAGCCUGAUCCAGCAAUGCCGCGUGAGUGAUGAAGGCCUUAGGGUUGUAAAGCUCUUUUACCCGGGAUGAUAAUGACAGUACCGGGAGAAUAAGCUCCGGCUAACUCCGUGCCAGCAGCCGCGGUAAUA